Elephantulus edwardii (Cape elephant shrew) is the source of this 1100-nucleotide RNA transcript. It is a transcript of the gene named adaptor-related protein complex 1 associated regulatory protein pseudogene, with no coding region annotated. The record is from RefSeq and is a predicted model, not a curated record. The transcript has a single exon. Lineage: Eukaryota; Metazoa; Chordata; Mammalia; Macroscelidea; Macroscelididae.
AUGGGGAACUGCUGCUGGACGCAGUGCUUCGGGCUGCUCCGCAAGGAAGCGGGGUGGCUGCAGCGAGUAGGAGGCGGCGGAGGAUCCAAGUAUUUUAGAACAUGCUCAAGAGGUGAGCAUCUAACUAUAGAGUUUGAGAAUCUAGUAGAAAGUGAUGAAGGAGAAAGCCCGGGAAGCAGUCAUAGGCCUCUUACUGAGGAAGAAAUUGUUGACCUAAGAGAGAGACGUUAUGAUUCUAUUGCUAGGAAACAGAAAGAUCUUGAUAUGAAAAUCCAAAAGGAGUUAACCUUACAAGAAGAGAAGUUAAGAAGCUUUAUACGCUGCACAGCGUGAAGCAGCCAGGGCAGCAAAGCAGUGAAGGUGCUUGAAGCAAGAAAAGCAGAGGGUUUUACAGCGAUAUCAACUUUCCAACAGUGGAGAAUAUCAAAGUUCAGGACCAGAAGAUGACUUUGAAUCUUGUUUGAGGAAUAUAAAGUCACAAUAUAAAGUUUUUCGAAGUAGUAGACUCUCAUCUGAUGCCACAGUUUUGACGCCAAAUACUGAAAGCAGUUGUGAUUUAAUGACCAAAACAAAGUCAACUAGUGGGAAUAAUGACAGCACCUCCUUGGAUCUGGAGUGGGAAGAUGAAGAAGGAAUGAAUAGAAUGCUUCCAAUGAGAGAACGUUCCAAAACAGAGGAAGACAUUCUCCGAGCUGCUCUUAGAUAUAGCGGCAAGAAGACUGGAAGUAAUCCUACAUCAGCCUCUGAUGAUUCCAACGGGCUAGAAUGGGAGAAUGAUUUUGUCAGUGCUGAAAUGGAUGAUAAUGGUAAUUCUGAAUAUUCUGGAUUUGUAAAUCCUGUAUUAGAACUCUCUGAUUCUGCCAUAAAGCAAUCUGAUACAGAUCAACAGAAUCGGUAGGAAAAAUUUGAGGACCAUGUUUAUCAUUUAUGACCAAAUGUUAAAGUCCAACUAGAAUGUAUAAAUGGUUAUGCUGAGCCUUUUUGUGAAGGGGAUGCAAGAAACCAUGUUGUAAAUGCUUAUUAGAAUGGAAUAGGAAUAAUAGGAUAUAUCUGAAUUGCUUCAGAAUUAAGUGCAAUUUCAUCGCCUGCCUUCUGCUUUU